Pristionchus pacificus is the source of this 61-nucleotide non-coding RNA. NCBI's taxonomy places the organism in Eukaryota, Metazoa, Nematoda, Chromadorea, Rhabditida, Neodiplogasteridae. The record is from Rfam.
UCUUCAUUUUGCGUGCUCUCUCACCGGUCAGAGUGGCGAGAGACCACGUGAAAUGAAGAGA